This 301-nucleotide ribosomal RNA is filed under the name uncultured Thermovibrio sp. Its description in RNAcentral is "bacterial SSU rRNA". It matches the Rfam family "Bacterial small subunit ribosomal RNA", at positions 494 to 794 of the family's 1533-position model. The record is from RNAcentral. Lineage: Bacteria; Pseudomonadati; Aquificota; Aquificia; Desulfurobacteriales; Desulfurobacteriaceae.
CGGGGAACUUGGGGACAGGGGCCGAGGGAAUACGAAGGGGGCUAGGGUUGGUCGGAAUCACUGGGCGUAAAGCGCACGGAGGCGGCUUCCUAAGUAAGGGGUGAAAGCCGGGAGCGCAACUCCAGAACUGCCUUUGAUACUGGGAGGCUUGAGUCCGGGAGAGGGGAGUGGAACUGCGAGUGUAGAGGUGAAAUUCGUAGAUAGUCGCAAGAACACCAGUGGCGAAGGCGGCUCACUGGCCCGGUACUGACGCUGAGGUGCGAAAGCGUGGGGAGCAAACAGGAUUAGAUACCCCAGUAUC